UGGGUUUGACAUGCACAGGACGACGGCAGAGAUGUCGUUUCCCUUGUGGCCUGUGUGCAGGUGGUGCAUGGCUGUCGUCAGCUCGUGUCGUGAGAUGUUGGGUUAAGUCCCGCAACGAGCGCAACCCUUAUUUCAUGUUGCCAGCGCGUAAUGGCGGGGACUCGUGAGAGACUGCCGGGGUCAACUCGGAGGAAGGUGGGGAUGACGUCAAGUCAUCAUGCCCCUUAUGUCCAGGGCUUCACACAUGCUACAAUGGCCGGUACAAAGGGCUGCGAUGCCGUGAGGCUUAGCGAAUCCUUUAAAGCCGGUCUCAGUUCGGAUCGGGGUCUGCAACUCGACCCCGUGAAGUCGGAGUCGCUAGUAAUCGCAGAUCAGCAACGCUGCGGUGAAUACGUUCCCG
This 400-nucleotide ribosomal RNA is filed under the name uncultured Mycobacterium sp. Its description in RNAcentral is "bacterial SSU rRNA". It matches the Rfam family "Bacterial small subunit ribosomal RNA", at positions 976 to 1376 of the family's 1533-position model. Lineage: Bacteria; Bacillati; Actinomycetota; Actinomycetes; Mycobacteriales; Mycobacteriaceae. The record is from RNAcentral.